CAUAUUACUAGUUACUGAUGAUGCUAUCUCUAAAUGAUUCUUUCGCGUUCCUUCUGUCUUUGCCGACUGAUUAUUAUUGCUAGAAUAUUUAUUUUUUGUAACUGUAUUUUUCGGGGAAAAAAUGUCGGAAUCAGCAUCACCGAAAAGAUCAUCGAUUGCAGAUUUUGGUUUCGUCGCUGUAAAUACAGGUCUUCUUAUUAAACAUCUUGAAAAGACGCAAAUAUGUAAAUUACAAAGUCUUAUAAGCUACGAGAAACUUACAAACAGUACUAAUUGGAGGCGGCACAUCGAUGCUAGCAGGUUUUUCAGUCUGUCGAACUGUACCUAAUCGCUUGGCUAACUCUUCUGCAAAAUUUGGUGUUAUAUUGUUCGGCAAUGGUAUCUAAAUCAAAGUAUGAAGAUCUUAUAACAUGUAUGUGUAGUGUAAAGAACAUCAUACAAGAGUAUAUAUAUUAAAGAAAAAGGAAAUAGGAACCUUUGAUGUAUUAUCAGCAGGAGUAACUGAAUCAGGUACUGAAUCUAUUUCAUUUUGACUAAGUGCAUCCAUUUUGUCAUUUCCUAUAAUAUAUGUCAUAUCAUUUCUUUUACUGUAAUCCGAUUCAUUCAAAGAAGGUAGUAAUCCAACAAUGUUUGUUUUUGGUGCAGCAUUCAUACUGUAAUCUUUAAAUGCUGCUGUGGUAUCAUCUUCGCUUUCUGAUUCUUCUUCUUCGUCUACUUGUUCAGAUUCACUGCUGCUACUGCUUUCUAGACCAAUUUUAUUUGAAUUUUUCCAUUUUUCUGAGCCAAUGACAUAAGGCAAAGGCCGAUCUUGGUAUGGAUUAUUUGGCCCCAAUACAACGCUGUAAUUAAAUUAUCGAUAUUUUAUUUAUAUAUGUAUAAUAAAAACAAUAAUAAAUAAAAAUAAUCUAGCAAUAAUA
Molecule: unclassified non-coding RNA, 917 nt
Filed under: Bombus terrestris (buff-tailed bumblebee)
Lineage: Eukaryota; Metazoa; Arthropoda; Insecta; Hymenoptera; Apidae
Description: misc RNA ENSBTSG00005026031.1
Source: RNAcentral